GUGAGAAACCUUCUGUAGAAUUAGGUGAGAAGAAAUAAGGGAGAAUGUUAUACAAAAAUCAUAUCCAAUUUGGACUCAAAGAACAGAUUCUUGCCAUUUUUGUUGCUGAAAAUUAAGAUGACAAGAAAAAGAUAUUGUGGUGUGAUUUUUACAGAAAGAAUAAUACUCGCACACCUAAAAGACUUGCUAAAAGAUCCAUACAAAACUGCCCAACUAGAAGACAGCUAGGCCUUUCAAAUGACCAAUGAGAAAUGUGGGCAACAAGCUUCUCUGGAAACACUGCCACUCACUAAGGAGCAAUUAGAGCUACUGCAUAAGUUUCUCCAAUCUCAACUCCAAACCAGUAAACCCAAUCCAUGUAAUCCUACUAAUUUUUUUGGAACAUGUUUAACAACCCAUCAUGUUGAAAAAGUAUAGUGCAGCAGAAGACAAACAGGAAUCUAUGAAGAAAAGAAAACAAAAUAAAAAAUCCAUAUAAUAAUGAAGUGCAAAAGAAUAGCAGCGACAAAUGGUAACAAAUAGAAAGAUCAGUGGGGCAAAAAACCAAACACAAAGUACAUUAGUUGAAAAAAUACCAAAGAAUAGUGCUGGUCAAUUUAAAAUUUAUUUCUGAAAUAUUGCUUCAUUCCCAAAUUUAAUAUCUUAAACAACAAAAUCUCAUCAAUCUUAUUGAAAAAAUUUCAUUUAUACUUGCACUGGAUCCAGUGUACUUUGAUAAAGCUAAUUAUGGUUUUUACUAUUCAUAUCAUCUAUACUUUUGAUUUUGUUAAAUCAAUUUACGUAAUAUUUUUAAAAUACCACUUAGAAUGUAUGCCUAAAGCAAAUAAAAAAAAAUCAGCUUUCUUUAAAGCAAUUUUAAAAACGUUUUUAUUUUUUUAUUCCACUUUUAUUAGCAAAUUCCAGCAGAGGAACUCAGUCACGCAAUAAAGGAUGGAAAAAGAAAAGCACUUGGGACUUUAGAUUUAAUUUUUCACAUUAAAAAAACGAUUAUAAGUGCGAAGAAAAUUAUUGUAACGCAAAACCAAACAGGUCCCUCUACAAAAGCCAACUUCAUAUUUUUUUUCUACUUUUGAAAUAAAUUAAACAAGGUUAAUUAUAAUACUCAUAAUCAAAGAAAGAACAAGUACAAGAGAAAGAAUAAAUACCAGCAGAAGGUAAUAAGCUAGUUUAAAAGCAGAUAAAUAAUAAGUGAGAAUGCAAUAGAGGUACCAGCCGGAGUUGCAGGUACUUCUUCUGCUGAUUGAGUUGGAGUUCCAUCUCCCGUGCUUUGACUAUCGGUAGCAGCACUUCCCAAGGUGCUCGAACCUGCCGAAGAACCCCUCGUAGAGAACCGUACACCUUUUAAUAUUUGUUUUCUGCGAAUCAUUUUCCUAGAAAACAAAGUGGUAAUGGUUAACGAUGAAGCACCCAGCAAAGCACUGAAAAAGUCAUGGGUUUUGAGAAGGAGGAAAAACCGGGAAAAAUCUAAAUUUUCAACUUCCUUUUGCCGGGAAGCUUGAAACCUAC
RNAcentral lists this long non-coding RNA (1506 nucleotides) under Gossypium barbadense (sea-island cotton). RNAcentral describes it as "long non-coding RNA (GBAR_LNC007830)". The record is from RNAcentral. Lineage: Eukaryota; Viridiplantae; Streptophyta; Magnoliopsida; Malvales; Malvaceae.